RNAcentral lists this small RNA (745 nucleotides) under Pan troglodytes (chimpanzee). RNAcentral's name for it is "retained intron". Lineage: Eukaryota; Metazoa; Chordata; Mammalia; Primates; Hominidae. The record is from RNAcentral.
AUAUAUCUCACCUUCUUUCUAACCUUUUCUUAUGUGCUUUUAGGGCCCACCCUGGUCAUUACAGAAUAUUGUUGCUAUGGUGAUCUUUUGAAUUUUUUGAGAAGAAAACGUGAUUCAUUUAUUUGUUCAAAGCAGGAAGAUCAUGCAGAAGCUGCACUUUAUAAGAAUCUUCUGCAUUCAAAGGAGUCUUCCUGCAGCGAUAGUACUAAUGAGUACAUGGACAUGAAACCUGGAGUUUCUUAUGUUGUCCCAACCAAGGCCGACAAAAGGAGAUCUGCGAGAAUAGGCUCAUACAUAGAAAGAGAUGUGACUCCCGCCAUCAUGGAGGAUGACGAGUUGGCCCUAGACUUAGAAGACUUGCUGAGCUUUUCUUACCAGGUGGCAAAGGGCAUGGCUUUCCUCGCCUCCAAGAAUUGUAUUCACAGAGACUUGGCAGCCAGAAAUAUCCUCCUUACUCAUGGUCGGAUCACAAAGAUUUGUGAUUUUGGUCUAGCCAGAGACAUCAAGAAUGAUUCUAAUUAUGUGGUUAAAGGAAACGUGAGUACCCAUUCUCUGCUUGACAGUCCUGCAAAGAUUUUUAGUUUCAACUUUCGAUAAAAAUUGUUUCCUGUGAUUUUCAUAAUGUAAAUCCUGUCUAGGGAUAUCACACAUUUUAGCAGUCAAAUUAAGUGUACUUCGGCAAAAUUUGCAUGGUAUGCUGAACAUUACUACAACUAACAUUCAAUAAUAGAAGUCCUAAUUCUAA